UACGUAGGGGGCAAGCGUUGUCCGGAAUCAUUGGGCGUAAAGCGCGUGUAGGCGGUCCGGUAAGUCCGCUGUGAAAGUCGGGGGCUCAACCCUCGGAUGCCGGUGGAUACUGUCGGACUAGAGUACGGAAGAGGCGAGUGGAAUUCCUGGUGUAGCGGUGAAAUGCGCAGAUAUCAGGAGGAACACCGAUUGCGAAGGCAGCUCGCUGGGACGUUACUGACGCUGAGACGCGAAAGCGUGGGGAGCAAACAGG
This 253-nucleotide ribosomal RNA is filed under the name uncultured bacterium. RNAcentral describes it as "partial 16S ribosomal RNA". It matches the Rfam family "Bacterial small subunit ribosomal RNA", at positions 524 to 776 of the family's 1533-position model. The record is from RNAcentral.